Molecule: ribosomal RNA, 427 nt
Filed under: uncultured bacterium
Lineage: Bacteria
Description: bacterial SSU rRNA
Rfam family: Bacterial small subunit ribosomal RNA
Source: RNAcentral
UGGGGAAUUUUGGACAAUGGGGGCAACCCUGAUCCAGCCAUCCCGCGUGUGCGAUGAAGGCCUUCGGGUUGUAAAGCACUUUUGGCAGGGAAGAAACGGCGCGGGCUAAUAACCUGUGCUAAUGACGGUACCUGCAGAAUAAGCACCGGCUAACUACGUGCCAGCAGCCGCGGUAAUACGUAGGGUGCAAGCGUUAAUCGGAAUUACUGGGCGUAAAGCGUGCGCAGGCGGUUCGGAAAGAAAGGUGUGAAAUCCCAGGGCUUAACCUUGGAACUGCACUUUUAACUACCGGGCUAGAGUACGUCAGAGGGGGGUAGAAUUCCACGUGUCGCAGUGAAAUGCGUAGAGAUGUGGAGGAAUACCGAUGGCGAAGGCAGCCCCCUGGGAUGAUACUGACGCUCAUGCACGAAAGCGUGGGGAGCAAACA